Molecule: ribosomal RNA, 477 nt
Filed under: uncultured bacterium
Lineage: Bacteria
Description: bacterial SSU rRNA
Rfam family: Bacterial small subunit ribosomal RNA
Source: RNAcentral
AACGAACGCUGGCGGCAUGCCUAACACAUGCAAGCCGAACGGGAUCCUAGCUUGCUAGGUGAGAGUGGCGGACGGGUGAGUAACACGUGGGAAUCUGCCUUUUGGUUCGGGAUAACCGCGGGAAACUGCGGCUAAUACCGAAUGCCCUCGAGAGAGGAAAGAUUUAUCGCCAGAAGAGGAGCCCGCGUCCGAUUAGGUAGUUGGUGGGGUAAAGGCCUACCAAGCCGACGAUCGGUAGCUGGUCUGAGAGGAUGAUCAGCCACACUGGGACUGAGAUACGGCCCAGACUCCUACGGGAGGCAGCAGUGGGGAAUAUUGGACAAUGGGGGCAACCCUGAUCCAGCAAUGCCGCGUGAGUGAUGAAGGCCUUAGGGUUGUAAACUGCUUUUAUACAAGAGAAAACCCUGGUACGUGUACCAGGUUGAUAGUAUUGUAAGAAUAAGCAUCGGCUAACUUCGUGCCAGCAGCCGCGGUAAU